This is a long non-coding RNA of Etheostoma cragini (Arkansas darter), 174 nucleotides long. RefSeq lists it as uncharacterized. The transcript has 4 exons. The record is from RefSeq and is a predicted model, not a curated record. NCBI's taxonomy places the organism in Eukaryota, Metazoa, Chordata, Actinopteri, Perciformes, Percidae.
CAGGUGAAUAGGUGUGCAGUUAAUGGUGUGAGGUUCAGCAGGCGGUCUCAGUGUCGAAACCGUGGGGGUUACGCUGGCACUUCUGUCGAGAAUGAUUGUAAAUCUGUACGUUCCCCUGUAAACUGUUCUGUGGGGAUUUCCUGAACACAUUAAUAAACAUGAUUUGAUCCAACA